Callithrix jacchus (white-tufted-ear marmoset) is the source of this 104-nucleotide small nuclear RNA. The record is from Ensembl. Lineage: Eukaryota; Metazoa; Chordata; Mammalia; Primates; Cebidae.
GUGCUCGCUUCGGCAGCACAUACACUAAAAACUGGAAUGAUACAGAGAUUAGCGUGGCCCCUGCUCAAGGAUGACACACAAUUCGUGAAGCAUUCCAGAUUUUU